AAAUUUUUAUGCGCUACGGCGGACAAAGGAUGAACGAUAAUAUCGUUCUAGCAAUGUAGUAUUGAUCAAUACGGGGCCCAUGGACUGUACACCCUCAGGCCCGUAAGCAAUGCCGAUUUACAGAUGAAUUUUUGUUUAACCUUUUCGAAAAUGAAAACAAUGUUCAUGAUAUGUCACAGAAACCUUAUAAAUAGACAAUACACAGUUUCAAAAACUUGAACGAGGGUUGUUAUGCUAUUAUUAUUG
Molecule: long non-coding RNA, 246 nt
Filed under: Panax ginseng (ginseng)
Lineage: Eukaryota; Viridiplantae; Streptophyta; Magnoliopsida; Apiales; Araliaceae
Description: long non-coding RNA (PGIN_LNC014326)
Source: RNAcentral